CAUGUUUUUGAAUAUUAAAAAAUUUAGUCCUUUUCCCUACGGGGCGCAGCAGGCGCGAAAACGUUACAAUGCUGGAAACAGCGAUAAGGGGACCUCGAGUGCCAGGUUACAAAUCUGGCUGUCGUGAUGCCUAAAAAGCAUUGCAUAGCAAGGGCCGGGCAAGACCGGUGCCAGCCGCCGCGGUAACACCGGCGGCUCGAGUGGUAACCGUUAUUAUUGGGUCUAAAGGGUCUGUAGCCGGCCGGAUAAGUCUCUUGGGAAAUCUGGCAGCUUAACUGUCAGGCUUUCAGGAGAUACUGUCUGGCUUCGAGGCCGGGAGAGGUGAGAGGUACGG
Molecule: ribosomal RNA, 334 nt
Filed under: uncultured methanogenic archaeon
Lineage: Archaea; Methanobacteriati; Methanobacteriota
Description: bacterial SSU rRNA
Rfam family: Archaeal small subunit ribosomal RNA
Source: RNAcentral